Lagopus muta (rock ptarmigan) is the source of this 3524-nucleotide RNA transcript. It is a transcript of the gene named methyltransferase 6, methylcytidine, with no coding region annotated. NCBI's taxonomy places the organism in Eukaryota, Metazoa, Chordata, Aves, Galliformes, Phasianidae. The transcript is spliced from 8 exons. The record is from RefSeq and is a predicted model, not a curated record.
CGCGGGGUAACGCGCCUCAGGAGCCGCCGCCAGCCUGGGCCGCGCCGGGCAGCGCUGUGAGGGUGAGGGCUGAGCGCGCGCGAGGCUGCUGGAGCGAGGCUGGGCGUUUGCUUUUAGGUAUCUAGGAAUUUUACCUAAGUUAAGAAAUGUACACUGAAGAAAAGAAAAUCACUCUUGGGUCUUCAUUGUUCAUAUCUGUGUGAAAGAUUCUAGGAUGUUCCAUGAAAACACAUCAGCAGAUUGCUUAACUGAAGUAACAACUUCUACUGAAGAUGGUGCUUUCCAAACAAAAGGCCAUAAUAUGAGACUCCUUAGCCCAGAAGAAGCAGAGAGACUGGCAAAAGAUCGGGUUUUGGUGUCUGACUUCAAACAGCUGAAAUUGGAAAAAGAGGCACAGAAGAACUGGGAUCUUUUUUACAAGAGAAACAGCACCAACUUCUUCAAAGACAGACACUGGACAACCAGAGAGUUUCAAGAAUUAAAAGCAUGUCGGGAGUUUGCAGACCAGAAACUGACCAUUUUGGAAGCGGGCUGUGGGGUUGGAAACUGCUUAUUUCCACUCUUAGAAGAAGAUCUGAAUAUUUUUGCAUAUGCCUGUGAUUUCUCUCCUAGAGCUGUUGAAUAUGUGAAGAAAAAUUCCCUGUAUAGUACUGAAAGAUGCAAAGUGUUCCAGUGCGAUCUCACCAAAGAUGAUCUUCUGGAAAAUAUACCAGCAGAUUCUGUGGAUGUCGUCACCCUUAUAUUUGUGCUUUCUGCCAUUCAUCCUGACAAAAUGCAUCUUGUCUUGAAGAACAUUUACAAGGUAUUAAAACCAGGCAAGUGUGUCUUGUUCAGAGACUAUGGCCUGUAUGAUCAUGCGAUGCUCAGGUUUAAAUCUGGCAGCAAACUUGGAGAAAACUUCUAUGUUAGACAAGAUGGGACAAGAUCAUAUUUUUUCACUACAGAGUUCUUGUCUCAGCUCUUCAGGGCAGAGGGAUAUGAGGAAGUGGUCAACGAAUACGUGCACCGAGAAACUGUGAAUAGGAAAGAAGACUUGCGUGUUCCAAGAGUUUUUCUUCAAAGCAAAUUUCAAAAGCCUUUCAGUGUAAAUAAUGUGGACUCUGGUUGAAGAUUUUCCUGCAGUUAUGGAAUCCUAAACAUCACUCUCCUCUGUGGGAUUCUCCAGUGUGCUCUACUAGAACCACAUGUGUUAAGAGAAUCUAUUAGAACAAAGGCAGAUGGUGACCAUUUACUGUGGGGAGGCACACAGAUAUGUUGCAAAGAUAGAAGCUAUUAGCCAGGUAAGAUGAUUCAUUAGAGAACUCUUUUCUAUUCCUACUUCCCACCAUUCAUUGUGUUUGCACUGAGGAGAAAACGCUACUGCUGUGAAACCGAGGAACGUAAGGGCAUGAGGAAAGCACAUGUGAUUUUUCGAAAAGACUCUUGAUCUUGUGUGCCUCUACAUAAAUGAUCCUAGUUUAGGGACAUCUACCCUUCUGUAAGUCAUGAGUCUCAUCUUAAGAAAGUUUGAUUUGAUUUUGAAGGUCUUUGCCAAAGAUACAGGUAUAGCCAAAUAUGUUGAAAGAUUUAGAAAAGCAGCUGUGUGACUGAGAAAAUAUAUCUAGGUUUAUUUUUCUGAUUUGACUUGUAAGGUGCUUAAUACUUCACAGUCACUUCAGUGCUUUUUCAGAGUUCCUGCCAUUCUGUGCUGUGUUAUCCUUUGUCAAGCUAAGUGUGCCCUAUCAACUCCAGCUCAAUUUUACAUCUGUACUACCUAGUGGACUUGCAUCUGAAAUAAUGGAGGGUACUCAAAGGAAAAUUCACAGAGCAGACAAGCCUGCCUGCUAUCUGGGCUCUAUUUGGUGUUUUUCUACAAUCACCUUCUUUUGACUUCUAACUAUCUGUAGUAGAUUUGAUGCACUACGUGCCAGUGGGAUUGUUGUACAGCUGACACUUAAGGAUUUUGUUGCUACUUUUAAAAUUUUUUUAAAUUUUUUUCUAGCUUUAGCUUCAGGCUUCUAUGUGAAAGGUGGUGUUUAAUCAGAAUUUCUGUCAUCUAACAAAAGCCUUUUAAAUAAACCAGAUCUGAUGCUGUUAUGUUAAAACCGUGUUAUUCAAAGGAAGGAGAAAAGAGAAGUGAGCAGAAGGAAAAGAGAGCUGUUUCCUACGCUAAUACAAUAGAGCAUGGUUGUCCAACACUUUGGCUUGCCUGGGCCACACUGGGUGAAGAGGAAUUGUCUUGGGUCCUUGUAGCAAAAAUGCUAAGGCAUGGCUUGGACCUGUGAUUGAGCACCUGGUGGGAAGGCAGGGCUAAUCCAGAGGAGCUCAGGUGCCAGCAAUGCAAAUGAAUGACCAGAACAUGUGGAGCCAGGAUCCACCCCUCCCCAGACCUCAUUUAAGGGUUGGCAGUGUAGGCAAAAGUAUCUUAUCUAGAGAUUUCUGCAUAUCUGAGGCCUUUUAAAGAAUGCCUGCAUCUGAUAAUCAAUUGCAUCUCCUGCUGUUUGGAGAGGGUGUUCCUGUCCUUGCAUCUCACUGAAGAUCUCCAGUGCUCUGCACUGAACACUGAUGCACUGCUGCAGUUGCUGCUAUAGGGGCUCCACUUCAUUCUGCUUGCUGGGCAGCAGCACAGAUACCAGACUGGAUUAGAAUAACUUUCAUCCCCUUGCAUCAGGACUGCAUUUACACUCUUGACAACAGUUCUGCCUCAGCGAUCUCAGAGAUAAGCCUACUGGGUCUCAAGGGUGCUCAGUACACUGAACUCUCUCCUGGGAUUGUGCCCGGGAAGGGAGAUCAAUCUUUCUGGUUGAGUUGCUCGUGAGAAUAGCUGCAAGUCAAUUAUAUUCUCAGAAUAUUUUGUGAUAUGUGAAUCCUUCUGCAAACAAGGACUAGAUGAUGCUCACACACGUGUUCAAUGCAAAAACUUUCAAUUACUUUCCUUCUUACCUGCAUUUUUUGGCAGGUGUGAAAUGAAGCCAGGAUGAAGCACUUCAAAAAAGACAGUCUAGAUGAAAGGCUAAGCAAGAAUUAAAGAAAUAUUCUUAAACCUAGGUCUGGAACUGGUCUACACUUUCUUGGUAGAAGGAGAAAAUCUGAAACAGUCCAGCUUAUAGUAAGACCAGAAGCAUGUGGUACAGUUAUUUGUAAUCUGAUGAUUUUAAAAAUCUUUUAUCCUGAUUAUAGGGCUCCUCAUCUGAUGGAGAUCUGACCCAUGCUCUGACACAAAGCUUUGAAAUCCUCAUUGCUCCUGUGUAUCCAUGCUGUGCUUUCCAGACAUAAUGUCUAGCUGCAGAGGCAGUAGUCCUCAGACAUUCCCAAAGCAGUGGGCAGUUUUGCUUUCACUUUGGCAGAGCUUAUGCUAUGUCUUUUCUCUGCUGCCUCCCUUUCCCUGUGGGUGGCUGGGGGGGCAUCUAACAGCCUCUGGUUUAAGGCUGUCCUCCUGGGAAGCAGUGGAGAGAUCUGUGUCUGAUGGAGGAAAGUCAGUUUGAAGACUGGGUUGCCAUGCUUGUAGGGUACUGCUGAGAUCAUGUUAUGGUGGAAGGUUAAAG